RNAcentral lists this ribosomal RNA (253 nucleotides) under uncultured bacterium. RNAcentral describes it as "partial 16S ribosomal RNA". It matches the Rfam family "Bacterial small subunit ribosomal RNA", at positions 524 to 776 of the family's 1533-position model. The record is from RNAcentral.
CACGUAGGGCGCGAGCGUUGUCCGGAAUUAUUGGGCGUAAAGAGCUCGUAGGCGGCCUGUUGCGUCCGCUGUGAAAGCCCGGGGCUUAACCCCGGGUCGGCAGUGGAUACGGGCAAACUGGAGUACUGCAGGGGAGACUGGAAUUCCUGGUGUAGCGGUGAAAUGCGCAGAUAUCAGGAGGAACACCGGUGGCGAAGGCGGGUCUCUGGACAUUUCCUGACGCUGAGGCACGAAAGCCAGGGGAGCAAACGGG